This 430-nucleotide ribosomal RNA is filed under the name uncultured bacterium. RNAcentral describes it as "bacterial SSU rRNA". It matches the Rfam family "Bacterial small subunit ribosomal RNA", at positions 32 to 507 of the family's 1533-position model. The record is from RNAcentral.
AACGCUGGCGGCAUGCCUAACACAGUGCAAGUCGAACGAGACCUUCGGGUCUAGUGGCGCACGGGUGCGUAACGCGUGGGAAUCUGCCUUGGUUCGGAAUAACAGUUAGAAAUGACUGCUAAUACCGGAUAAUGUCUUCGGACCAAAGAUUUAUCGCCCAGGGAUGAGCCCGCGUAGGAUUAGCUAGUUGGUGAGGUAAAAGGCUCACCAAAGGCGACGAUCCUUAGCUGGUCUGAGAGGAUGAUCAGCCACACUGGGACUGAGACACGGCCCAGACUCCUACGGGAGGCAGCAGUGGGGAAUAUUGGACAAUGGGCGAAAGCCUGAUCCAGCAAUGCCGCGUGAGUGAUGAAGGCCUUAGGGUUGUAAAGCUCUUUUACCCGGGAUGAUAAUGACAGUACCGGGAGAAUAAGCUCCGGCUAACUCCGUG